This 407-nucleotide ribosomal RNA is filed under the name uncultured bacterium. RNAcentral's name for it is "bacterial SSU rRNA". It matches the Rfam family "Bacterial small subunit ribosomal RNA", at positions 354 to 777 of the family's 1533-position model. The record is from RNAcentral.
GUAGGGAAUUUUGCGCAAUGGGGGAAACCCUGACGCAGCAACGCCGCGUGACCGAUGACGCCCUUCGGGGUGUAAAGGUCUGUCAGUAGGGACGAAUUUUGACGGUACCUACAGAGGAAGCACCGGCUAACUCCGUGCCAGCAGCCGCGGUAAUACGGGGGGUGCAAGCGUUGUCCGGAAUCAUUGGGCGUAAAGAGUUCGUAGGCGGCAUGUCAAGUCUGGUGUUAAAUCCUGAGGCUCAACUUCAGUUCAGCACUGGAUACUGGCAAGCUAGAAUGCGGUAGAGGUAAAGGGAAUUCCUGGUGUAGCGGUGAAAUGCGUAGAUAUCAGGAAGAACACCGGUGGCGUAAGCGCUUUACUGGGCCGUUAUUGACGCUGAGGAACGAAAGCCGGGGGAGCGAAUGGGA